UACGUAGGGUGCGAGCGUUAAUCGGAAUUACUGGGCGUAAAGCGUGCGCAGGCGGUUCGUUGUGUCCGAUGUGAAAGCCCCGGGCUUAACCUGGGAAUGGCAUUGGAAACUGGCGAGCUUGAGUGCGGCAGAGGGGGUGGAAUUCCGCGUGUAGCAGGUGAAAUGCGUAGAGAUGCGGAGGAACACCGAUGGCGAAGGCAGCCCCCUGGGUCGACACUGACGCCUCAGGCACGAAAGCGUGGGGAGCAAACAGG
RNAcentral lists this ribosomal RNA (254 nucleotides) under uncultured bacterium. RNAcentral describes it as "partial 16S ribosomal RNA". It matches the Rfam family "Bacterial small subunit ribosomal RNA", at positions 524 to 776 of the family's 1533-position model. The record is from RNAcentral.